Molecule: transfer RNA, 76 nt
Filed under: Pseudomonadota bacterium
Lineage: Bacteria; Pseudomonadati; Pseudomonadota
Also listed under: 1 other name
Description: tRNA-Lys
Rfam family: tRNA
About the family: Transfer RNA (tRNA) molecules are approximately 80 nucleotides in length. Their secondary structure includes four short double-helical elements and three loops (D, anti-codon, and T loops).
Source: RNAcentral
GGGCUGCUAGCUCAACUGGCAGAGCAACUGACUCUUAAUCAGUAGGUUCGGAGUUCGAUUCUCCGGCAGCCCACCA